UGGGGAAUAUUGGACAAUGGGCGCAAGCCUGAUCCAGCGACGCCGCGUGAGUGAUGAAGGCCUUCGGGUUGUAAAGCUCUGUUGAGGGAGAAGAAAACAGGUGGUUCAAAUAGAUCCAUCUCUUGACGGUAUCCCUUUAGAAAGCACCGGCUAACUCUGUGCCAGCAGCCGCGGUAAGACAGAGGGUGCAAACGUUGCUCGGAAUUACUGGGCGUAAAGCGCGUGUAGGCGGACCAACAAGUCAGGCGUGAAAUCCCUGGGCUCAACCCAGGAACUGCACCUGAAACUGUUGGCCUUGAGUGGUGGAGAGGGAAGCAGAAUUCCUGGUGUAGAGGUGAAAUUCGUAGAUAUCAGGAGGAACACCGGUGGCGAAGGCGGCUUCCUGGACACUAACUGACGCUGAGACGCGAAAGCGUGGGGAGCAAACAG
This 429-nucleotide ribosomal RNA is filed under the name uncultured bacterium. Its description in RNAcentral is "bacterial SSU rRNA". It matches the Rfam family "Bacterial small subunit ribosomal RNA", at positions 355 to 775 of the family's 1533-position model. The record is from RNAcentral.